This is a long non-coding RNA of Lolium rigidum, 304 nucleotides long. RefSeq lists it as uncharacterized. The transcript is spliced from 2 exons. NCBI's taxonomy places the organism in Eukaryota, Viridiplantae, Streptophyta, Magnoliopsida, Poales, Poaceae. The record is from RefSeq and is a predicted model, not a curated record.
GCUGGAAGAUGUGCAUGCUAUGGUGCCAAAUUCUUCGUCCAAUUUUUAGGACUGAACGAGUGUUCCAGCAGAUUAACCCGCAGAUGUAAAUAAAGCCAAUAUAUUUACAUCUACGUGGCAGCAGGGAGAGGCCUGGUACUUCUUGUCGAUUACGUAGGAAAAACAUUCAUCUACGGGUUGCAAAGCAAGCGAUGUAUUUUGUUACACUAAAAGGAAGAUGGUGCAGUUGAUAUUUACUUUGUGUUUUGCCGACUGCAGAUGUGAAUGUAUUUUUUUACUGUACAAGAUUUACACUUUUUUCCUC